UACGGGGGGGGCAAGCGUUGUUCGGAAUUACUGGGCGUAAAGGGCUUGUAGGUGGCCCGCUAAGUCAGACGUGAAAUCCCUCGGCUCAACCGGGGAACUGCGUCUGAGACUGGCGGGCUCGAAUCCGGGAGAGGGAUGCGGAAUUCCAGGUGUAGCGGUGAAAUGCGUAGAUAUCUGGAGGAACACCGGUGGCGAAGGCGGCAUCCUGGACCGGUAUUGACACUGAAAAGCGAAAGCCAGGGGAGCAAACGGG
RNAcentral lists this ribosomal RNA (253 nucleotides) under uncultured Acidobacteriota bacterium. RNAcentral's name for it is "uncultured Acidobacteria bacterium partial 16S ribosomal RNA". It matches the Rfam family "Bacterial small subunit ribosomal RNA", at positions 524 to 776 of the family's 1533-position model. Lineage: Bacteria; Pseudomonadati; Acidobacteriota. The record is from RNAcentral.